CCUACGGGAGGCAGCAGUGGGGGAUAUUGGACAAUGGGGGGAACCCUGAUCCAGCGACGCCGCGUGAGUGAAGAAGUAUCUCGGUAUGUAAAGCUCUAUCAGCAGGGAAGAAGAAAUGACGGUACCUGAGUAAGAAGCCCCGGCUAACUACGUGCCAGCAGCCGCGGUAAUACGUAGGGGGCAAGCGUUAUCCGGAAUUACUGGGUGUAAAGGGAGCGUAGACGGUGAUGUAAGUCUGGAGUGAAAGGCGGGGGCCCAACCCCCGGACUGCUCUGGAAACUAUGUGACUGGAGUGCAGGAGAGGUGAGCGGAAUGCGCGGUGUAGCGGUGAAAUGCUUAGAUAUCGCGCAGAACCCCGAUUGCGAAGGCAGCGUACCGGCUCCACACUGACGCUGAGGCACGAAAGCGUGGGUAUCGAACAGGAUUAGAUACCCUUGUAGUC
RNAcentral lists this ribosomal RNA (442 nucleotides) under uncultured bacterium. RNAcentral's name for it is "partial 16S ribosomal RNA". It matches the Rfam family "Bacterial small subunit ribosomal RNA", at positions 338 to 795 of the family's 1533-position model. The record is from RNAcentral.